AGGGUUCGUAGGUGACCUGCGGAGGWCAUUACCAAAAAAACACGUUCGGACGGGGGGCACUAGAGGUGGGAAGCCAAGGCGAUGCUAGCUGGACGUCGUGUGGCCUGUGGUUGCCGGGGGUUAAACGUUCACACCCCCCCUCGCGCAGCACACAUCAGUGGCCGAACCCAGGCAAAGCACCGGCCCCCAUCGGCUGCCCCCGGUCCCAAAACAAAAACCCUCUGCGUACCUUCCCCUCCUUGCUUCCCCCGGCACACGUCGGGGGGAGGAACACAACCCAAAACUCUUUGCGUGUAACCGCCGUCAGAAAUACAGAUACAAAAGAAAAGUUAAAACUUUCAACAACGGAUCUCUUGGUUCCCACAUCGAUGAAGAACGCAGCGAAAUGCGAUAAGUAAUGUGAAUUGCAGAAUUCAGUGAAUCAUCGAAUCUUUGAACGCACAUUGCGCCCUCUGGUACUCCGGGGGGCAUGCCUGUUCGAGCGUCAUAAAACCAUCUCCCCCAACGUGUUUAUUCAUUUAAGCCUACGCUGGGGGGUCUUGGCCUGCGGGAAAGCGACUGGCAAUCCGCUCCCGAGAGCCCAAAUUUAGGAGACCCGCCAUCUGAUGCGACAGCACCGAGGCCCUCAACCGUGGAGUCAUGGGACUUUUGGAUUUGCAGUAAUAUGCUCACCUUUCUUCACACGCCGUUGGCACACCAGUCGCAGUUGCGGGCGUAAUAUGGAGUCCCCCAAGGGGGGACCCUUGUGGAUUAGCACCCACCUCACAAACUUUGACCUCGGAUCAGGUAGGGAUACCCGCUGAACUUAAGCAUAUCAAUAAGSCGGAGGA
RNAcentral lists this ribosomal RNA (830 nucleotides) under Morchella cf. inamoena LIP PhC2. RNAcentral's name for it is "eukaryotic LSU rRNA". The record is from RNAcentral. Lineage: Eukaryota; Fungi; Ascomycota; Pezizomycetes; Pezizales; Morchellaceae.